Molecule: ribosomal RNA, 253 nt
Filed under: uncultured bacterium
Lineage: Bacteria
Description: partial 16S ribosomal RNA
Rfam family: Bacterial small subunit ribosomal RNA
Source: RNAcentral
UACGGGGGGGGCAAGCGUUGUUCGGAAUUACUGGGCGUAAAGCGCGCGCAGGCGGCUAUCCAAGUCAGUGGUGAAAGCCCGGAGCUCAACUCCGGAACUGCCAUUGAAACUGUUUAGCUUGAGGACGAGAGAGGUGAGUGGAAUUCCCAGUGUAGAGGUGAAAUUCGUAGAUAUUGGGAAGAACACCGGUGGCGAAGGCGGCUCACUGGCUCGUAUCUGACGCUCAGGCGCGACAGCGUGGGGAUCAAACAGG